UACGUAGGGUGCGAGCGUUGUCCGGAAUCAUUGGGCGUAAAGAGCUCGUAGGCGGCUUGUCGCGUCUGCCGUGAAAGUCCGGGGCUCAACUCCGGAUCUGCGGUGGGUACGGGCAGGCUAGAGUGAUGUAGGGGAGACUGGAAUUCCUGGUGUAGCGGUGAAAUGCGCAGAUAUCAGGAGGAACACCGAUGGCGAAGGCGGCUCACUGGCCCGGUACUGACGCUGAGGUGCGAAAGCGUGGGGAGCAAACAGG
RNAcentral lists this ribosomal RNA (253 nucleotides) under uncultured bacterium. RNAcentral's name for it is "partial 16S ribosomal RNA". It matches the Rfam family "Bacterial small subunit ribosomal RNA", at positions 524 to 776 of the family's 1533-position model. The record is from RNAcentral.